UACGGGGGGGGCAAGCGUUGUUCGGAAUUACUGGGCGUAAAAGGCUCGUAGGUGGCCAACUAAGUCAGACGUGAAAUCCCCAGGCUCAACCUGGGAACUGCGUCUGAUACUGGAUGGCUUGAAUCCGGGAGAGGGAUGCAGAAUUCCAGGUGUAGCGGUGAAAUGCGUAGAUAUCUGGAGGAAUACCGGUGGCGAAGGCGGCAUCCUGGACCGGCAUUGACGCUGAGGAGCGAAAGCCAGGGGAGCAAACGGG
RNAcentral lists this ribosomal RNA (253 nucleotides) under uncultured bacterium. Its description in RNAcentral is "partial 16S ribosomal RNA". It matches the Rfam family "Bacterial small subunit ribosomal RNA", at positions 524 to 776 of the family's 1533-position model. The record is from RNAcentral.